Molecule: long non-coding RNA, 447 nt
Organism: Alexandromys fortis (reed vole)
Lineage: Eukaryota; Metazoa; Chordata; Mammalia; Rodentia; Cricetidae
Exons: 3
Source: RefSeq, a predicted model, not a curated record
AAGAAGCUGAGUCAGGAGUCGCCAUGAUUCUCCCACUCCAGACAGACGCAGGUUAAGAUCUUUCCUGAACAUGCGGUAGUUCUUCAUUUCGGCGACUGUGGGAGCUCUGGAAUGGCCCAUUUCUUCCUGCGUGACGACUUGUAUUUUCCAUGGAAGACUGCCAACGCUGUGUGUUUACCCACAGGCUCAGGGGAGUGGACACCACAGCCGGGAGAAAAGACUUUGUGUCUUUAAGGUGUUCGGAAGCACCAUCGGCAAAGAUCCCUCCAUGUCUCUUGCUUUCUUUCCUGAGACAUAAAAGUUAGACCAGACAACAUAACAGCCAGGAGACAGCGCCAGAUCUCAUUGCAGCUUGUUGUGAGCCACCAUAUGGCUGCUGGAAAUUGAACUCAGGACAUCUGGAAGAGCAGCCAGUGCUCUUAACCUCUGAGCCCUCUCUCCAGCCCA